Molecule: ribosomal RNA, 497 nt
Filed under: uncultured bacterium
Lineage: Bacteria
Description: partial 16S ribosomal RNA
Rfam family: Bacterial small subunit ribosomal RNA
Source: RNAcentral
GAUGAACGCUGGCGGCGUGCUUAAUACAUGCAAGUCGAGCGAACGGACGCGACGCUUGCUUCUCUGAUGUUAGCGGCGGAGGGGUGAGUAACACGUGUAUAACCUACCUAUAAGACUGGGAUAAUUUCGGGAAAGCGGCGCUUACACCGGAUAAUAUUUUGAACCGCAUGGGUGAAAAGUGAAAGACGGUCUUGCUGUCAGUUAUAGAUGGAUCUGCGCUGCAUUAGCUAGUUGGUAAGGUAACGGGUUAUGAAGGCAACGAGGCAUGUGCGACGGGAGAGGGGGGUCGGCGGCACGGGAGGGGGGCCGCCGUCCAGGCUCCUACGGGAGGCACCAGUCGGGUAUCGUCGGCAACGGGCGAGAACAUGGCGCAACAGCGCCACGUGAGUGAUAACGGUCUUCGGUUCGUAAAGCUCUGUUAUUAGGGGAGAACAUCUUUCUAAGUAACUGAGCACAUCUUGACGGUACCUAGUAAGAAAGCCACGGCUAACUACGUG